CGAUUUAGCUCAAUUGGUAGAGCAACUCAUUCGUAAUGAGUAGGUUGAAGGUUCGAUUCCUUCCUUCGGC
RNAcentral lists this transfer RNA (70 nucleotides) under bovine gut metagenome. The stretch from base 6 to 63 matches the Rfam family "tRNA", at positions 8 to 63 of the family's 71-position model. Rfam says of the family: Transfer RNA (tRNA) molecules are approximately 80 nucleotides in length. Their secondary structure includes four short double-helical elements and three loops (D, anti-codon, and T loops). The record is from RNAcentral.